Molecule: ribosomal RNA, 253 nt
Filed under: uncultured bacterium
Lineage: Bacteria
Description: partial 16S ribosomal RNA
Rfam family: Bacterial small subunit ribosomal RNA
Source: RNAcentral
GACGAACCGUGCGAACGUUGUUCGGAAUCACUGGGCAUAAAGGGCGCGUAGGCGGCUUAUCAAGUCAGGGGUGAAAUCCGGCAGCUCAACUGUCGAAGUGCCUUUGAUACUGAUGAGCUCGAGGGAGGUAGGGGUGUGCGGAACUUCCGGUGGAGCGGUGAAAUGCGUUGAUAUCGGAAGGAACGCCGGUGGAGAAAGCGGCGCACUGGACCUCUUCUGACGCUGAGGCGCGAAAGCCAGGGGAGCAAACGGG